AAUUGUGCACGUCCCCUUUAAGAGUUUGUUAGUAAUACACUGUCUAAAAACGUGGCUUUGCCCAGCAGGUUAGUUCAUUUCUUUCUGAUUGGCCCUUGUCCUUCUUAUUCCCGCCUCUGCAGGUAUACUGAGAAUUAUGAUUGGAUGAAGGGGUGGAGUUUAGAGCUGCAGAUCGGUGUGAGAGUUUAGUUAACGAUGUGACUGGGAGGAAUUCAUGGACCAGUUGGGACUUACCUCGGACGGGCUUUGGAGUAUCGUUGCUAUGGUGAUAAAGGAUCGGUUCGGUAGAGGAGGGACUACAGAAAGAUCUACAGCUUCAGAGGAGGGAAUUUGGUGUUCCAGCCGCCUGGGAAGCCGUUCAGAAUGAUGGAGGGAAAGAGAUCAGACUCACCAGAACCCAGCUAUGUGUCCAUGAAGAGUGAAGCGUCAAUGGGACGUCCAAUUACCUUCAGAGACAGAGACAGUUCUACUGAUGUGAAACCACAAAAAUCAAACAUCAGCACAAAUCAGCUGGACUCUAUAUUCAAGG
Long non-coding RNA from Tachysurus fulvidraco (yellow catfish), 529 nucleotides. RefSeq lists it as uncharacterized. The record is from RefSeq and is a predicted model, not a curated record. The transcript has 4 exons. NCBI's taxonomy places the organism in Eukaryota, Metazoa, Chordata, Actinopteri, Siluriformes, Bagridae.